This 377-nucleotide ribosomal RNA is filed under the name uncultured bacterium. RNAcentral describes it as "bacterial SSU rRNA". It matches the Rfam family "Bacterial small subunit ribosomal RNA", at positions 523 to 898 of the family's 1533-position model. The record is from RNAcentral.
AGACGAAGGUGGCAAGCGUUGUUCGGAAUUACUGGGCUUAAAGGGCGCGCAGGCGGAAAUGAAAGUGUCUUGUGAAAUCCCCCGGCUUAACCGGGGAAUUGCAGAGCAAACUACAUUUCUUGAGGCAAGCAGGGGUGCAUGGAACUCUUGGUGGAGCGGUGGAAUGCGUAGAUAUCAAGAGGAACGCCAAAGGUGAAGACAGUGCACUGGGCUUGUCCUGACGCUGAGGCGCGAAAGCGUGGGGAGCAAACAGGAUUAGAUACCCUGGUAGUCCACGCUGUAAACGAUGCCUACUAGGUUGUGGAGGUUCUGACGCCUUCACAGUCGAAGCAAAAGUGUUAAGUAGGCCGCCUGGGGAGUACGGUCGCAAGGCUAAA